AACGAACGCUGGCGGCGUGCUUAACACAUGCAAGUCGAACGUGAUCCAUCCUUCGGGGUGGUGAAAGUGGCGCACGGGUGAGUAACGCGUGGAUAACCUGCCCGAUGAUCUGGGAUAACAUCUCGAAAGGGGUGCUAAUACCGGAUAAGCCCACGGGAGCUUCGGCUCUUGCGGGAAAAGAGGGGGACCUUCGGGCCUCUUGUCAUCGGAUGGGUCCGCGUCCCAUUAGCUAGUUGGCGGGGUAAUGGCCCACCAAGGCAACGAUGGGUAGCUGGUCUGAGAGGAUGAUCAGCCACACUGCAACUGAGACACGGUUCAGACUCCUACGGGAGGCAGCAGUGGGGAAUUUUGCGCAAUGGGGGAAACCCUGACGCAGCAACGCCGCGUGAGUGAUGAAGGCCCUUGGGUCGUAAAGCUCUGUCAGAGGGGAAGAAAUGAUUGGGUAUUAAUACUGCCUGAUCUUGACGGUACCCUCAAAGGAAGCACCGGCUAACUCCGUGCCAGCAGCCGCGGUAAUACGGAGGGUGCAAGCGUUGUUCGGAUUUAUUGGGCGUAAAGGGCGUGUAGGCGGUUCGUUAAGUCUGAUGUGAAAGCCCCGGGCUCAACCCGGGAAGUGCAUUGGAAACUGGCGAACUUGAGUACGGGAGAGGGCAGUGGAAUUCCUAGUGUAGGAGUGAAAUCCGUAGAUAUUAGGAGGAACACCGGUGGCGAAGGCGGCUGCCUGGACCGAUACUGACGCUGAGACGCGAAAGCGUGGGGAGCAAACAGGAUUAGAUACCCUGGUAGUCCACGCCGUAAACGAUGAGCACUAGGUGUUGCGGGUAUUGACCCCUGCAGUGCCGCAGCUAACGCAUUAAGUGCU
RNAcentral lists this ribosomal RNA (862 nucleotides) under uncultured bacterium. RNAcentral's name for it is "bacterial SSU rRNA". It matches the Rfam family "Bacterial small subunit ribosomal RNA", at positions 28 to 868 of the family's 1533-position model. The record is from RNAcentral.